RNAcentral lists this long non-coding RNA (929 nucleotides) under Musa acuminata (dwarf banana). RNAcentral's name for it is "long non-coding RNA (MACU_LNC002319)". The record is from RNAcentral. Lineage: Eukaryota; Viridiplantae; Streptophyta; Magnoliopsida; Zingiberales; Musaceae.
GUGACACACUGGACCAUAAACAAUCACUUGAGAUACGUGUGCAGUGAGAUAGAUUGAAGAGUUGGAGAACUUUUGCUACUUAUAUAAUUUGGAAAUCGGUCUAACUAGUAACUAAUAGAGUUUGUCCACAGUAUCAUGUGUUUGUGUUUUUCUUCUCUCUAAUCUACGGGUAUUCUUGAUUGGUUUGUUUGUACAUCUUAAAUGGCCUUAUCACUUUACUAGUAGGGUUUGGCAUGGAAAAAGAAGAUAAAGGAUAAAAAUGCUGGCAUUCCUUAGACAAAUAUAUUAAAUGAUUGUUAUUCACAAGUCCCUUCAAAUCCAUUCUAUUGGUGAUGCAUUGGGGAGAUUUCUCUUCUACUUGAGCAACAGUUUAUAUGGAAAUUUCUUCCUGGAUGGGUUCUAACAGGAACUGUUCUGUGGCAUCUUCAGCUGGCACAAUGUCGAUUGUUUCUCUCUCCUCAUCCUGCGUUCUGACAAGCAGCAUUAAGUGCCAGCCCUCUUCUCCACUGAUCAAGAGCCCAUCCUCGUUGAGCUCCUUGAAGUGCAUCUCAAAAGCAUCAAACUUGAAGAUAUCAAACUGCUUCAGGGCAUCGGCCAUGGCGGUCUACACGGUGAAACUAAUCGACCCAGAGGGGCAGGAACAUGAAUUUGAAGCUCCAGACGAUACCUACAUUCUGGACGCAGCUGAGGCUGCAGGCGUAGACCUUCCUUACUCUUGCCGUGCCGGAGCAUGUUCUACGUGUGCUGGUCAGAUGGUGUCUGGUAACGUUGAUCAGUCCGAUGGAUCCUUCCUUGACGAAUCACAGAUGGCCAAGGGUUAUCUUCUUACCUGUGUCUCUUACCCAAGAUCCGACUGCAUCAUCCACACUCAUAAAGAAGGUGAUCUCUAUUGAUUGUCUGUGGUUGGGUUAACACCUUUAGUUGUGCUU